This is a non-coding RNA of Parelaphostrongylus tenuis, 71 nucleotides long. NCBI's taxonomy places the organism in Eukaryota, Metazoa, Nematoda, Chromadorea, Rhabditida, Metastrongylidae. The record is from the annotation of a GenBank genome assembly.
GCAUUGGUGGUUUAGUGGUAGAGCACUUGCUUGUCAUCUGGGCGACCCGGGUUCGAUCACCGGCCAGUGCA